This 4142-nucleotide long non-coding RNA is filed under the name Trifolium pratense (red clover). RNAcentral's name for it is "long non-coding RNA (TPRA_LNC013075)". The record is from RNAcentral. Lineage: Eukaryota; Viridiplantae; Streptophyta; Magnoliopsida; Fabales; Fabaceae.
AAAAAAACCACGGCCGUUGUCAAAACCGACAACCAGAGAAUAAACACUAUGUGAAAAUUAUUACAACACAUAGACUUCACUCUCAAUCACCCCAUGCCCCAAUACACCCACACUCUCCAAAGUAAAUAUUUGAACUACAUCUCAAAUACUCUUAAACAAGAGCAUAAGAGAAAAGCAAAAAGACACAAAUAUAAACUUAAAGUGUUUACAAGUGUUACUGCUUGGUGCAAUUAUAAACAAAGAACUUAGGUCCAUUAUCUAGCUUUGAUUUCCUCCUUGCUUCAUAAUUCUAAGCGAUGUGGGACUUACAUUGCAAUCAAUCCCAACAAUCUCCACCUUGAUUGUAAUGGUCUUCAAUCUUCAUUGUCUACACCGACAAUCAUUAUCUUCUGCUUCCAUUGUCUAUACCGACAAUCAUUGUCUUCACCGACAAUCAUAAUUCUCAUUGUCUAUACCGACAAAUUAAAUUAUCAUACUCCACCAUAAAAAGUACACUCCACUUGGAACUAAACCAUCCCAAGAUUUUGCUUCACUUGGAACCAAGCCAUCCCAAGACCAAGAAUUUCAUCUCGAAACUUCGCUGAAAAUUUAUGGUGCAACUUCCAUGUUGGCUUUCUCCGGAAGUUCAUCAGCCAUCGAGAUAACCGCAUACCUUGCAUCAAUGUCAACCAAUGCCCGCACGCUAUCAUCACACACCUUGCAUCCAUGUCAACCGAUGUCCAUGUGCCACCUGAACAAUUUCAAACUGCUAUGAAGCUACCUUCACGCCAUUGUUAGGCUCCAACAAUUCCAGUUUAGUUACAUCACCUAGUAAACCUUGUUUCACUAGUCCAACUAAACUCAUGUCACUAACAAGUACCCAUCCGAAGAUCCACAACUUAACCAAAACAUGAGAAUCACCACUAGUAAUAGAUGCAUAACCAAUAAUAGUAUAACUAUCUAACAAGUAUCUACCUACUAUCUAUGUAUCAAAGUUCAAGAAAAUACCUCGCAUUGUGUUAAAAGAAACUCACUCAUACCUUGAACCUUACAAGCUUUCCGUCACCAAGAUGAACAACUCCACCUUCAACUAGCUANNNNNNNNNNNNNNNNNNNNNNNNNNNNNNNNNNNNNNNNNNNCACAUGUGAUAGGAGCUUCCAAAGUCCAUAUGACUCAACACUCCACCGAUUCUCAACUUCCACUAGCACCUUCGCAUCCUCAUAAUAAGUUGUUGUUUCAGACGUAACCCCAGUAUUGUAACACCCAAACCCAAUAUUAGCCUUAUUCUACCUUUAGAAUCUUAUUUUCAAAAAUUACGCAGCAGAUCAAAUAAAGUCAAAGACUUAAAUCAAAAAGAUUGAUAAAAUAUUGGUUCGAGAUAUUACAAAUUACUUCAAAACCUUACUAAUAACAUUAAUUGGUAGAAUACGAGUUUAAACAAAUCUUUGAAUUAAAUAAAGUAUUAUUAAUUAUACAAAAUAAUUAAGACUAGAGGACUCUACAUAUAUAAAAUCCCUUUUUCCCGUGUCACAAUCAGAGCGGAGCUUCAUCAAUACUCGAACACACGACCUGAGAACCUGGACCCCCAAAGGUCCAGCACAUACACAAAACAGAGAGUUAGCANNNNNNNNNNNNNNNNNNNNNNNNNNNNNNNNNNNNNNNNNNCCACACUUGAGUAAAUAAAAGUAAGGCAUAAGCAUAUAUGUUCAUACACAAUUCUAUCUAAUAAGCAUACUCAUUAACAAUAUAGCAUAGCGAAUUAGAUAACAAAUACAAACAUAAUUAUCAAAGAAACACUUAUGUUAAAUCAAUGACAAUUAUCAAGCAUCAAGUACAAAGGACACAUAAUUCCUAAAUGCACACUAAUGUCAAUUAGAAAUGUAUGUCUCCUAAUGCAUAUCUAAUGCAUGUGGUACCAUUCCUUUUUUUUGGAUAAACUUAUAUCUCUUUGCAUCUCUCAUUUGCUUACCAAAGCGGUUAUGCAUUUGACCAAUUACAUUGGAUUUCCAACCUUACCAAAGGUCAAUCAUACAACAUGAGUGCAUGAAAUGUUCACAUAGCAAUUAUAUGAUAUUUACACCUACACAUAUACCAAUAUGUAUGUACACUAUCAAUCAUAAUUAUCAUUCCAAUUAAUUAUCAACUCCAUGAUUAAUUAACAAUUCAUAUUAUGAUUCAAUCACAAACAUCAUUGUCAAACAUAAUGCAUUUAUUCCAUCAAUCAACAAUCCAAUUAUCAUUGAAUAGAAUACUAGCAUAUAUUCCUAAUUAUUCAAUCAUUUGAAUUCACAAAACUCAUUUUCUUUCCAAAUCAUGCUUCUAACAUAAUAUAUUCUUAACAAGCAAGCAUUAUUCCAGAAAACUAACUUCAGAUUCGGAAUCUACACAAAAAACUGUGAAAGAUAGGUUCCAGGUGCAUGAACCGUCGGAAAGUCAACACUCAGUCAACAGUCAAGGGGUCAACAGUCAAACUGUCAAACCAACAGUUGCGUCGGUCAUAGCGUCGAUAAGUUUCGACGCAAGGACCUGUUCAUACUGCAUAAUUAUUACGCAGAAGAAUUAGCGACGCCAUAGCGUCGACCUAUUCGACGCAAACACUAUGUUGCAUAUUUUCAGAAAAACGCGUUUUGAACAUGGGUUUGACCCAAAAGUGCUUAUUUUCACCAAAAUCACUUAUUUGAACUUAGGAAAAGCACAUACACUUAAUACCCAACGUAUAACUCAUAUAAAACAACUUAAACAUAAGUUAAAAAACACCAAAUCAUCAAGAUUAAUCAUUUAUCUUUAAGUUAUUAGAUUUUAUCAUAAAUCUCAAAACCCACCAUUUUUGCAAAGCUUGAACAAUCAAUCAAAAGCAAUGACAUCAUAUAUGCAUCAACAAGGAAUAUAAACACAUUCCCAAUUCCCAAAUUAACCACAACUCAUAGAGAUGAAAGAGUUUAGGUAUGGAGAAGAAAGGUUUUUCUCUCCUCUUUAUGAACCAUCUCAAAAUGAAUAAAUUACUACUCUCAUACCUUAUUGAUGUUGGAUUCUCUAGUCCUUCAUCUCCUAGCUCUUCUUCUUCAAUCUUCUCCUCUACUUAGCUUUCCUCUUCACUCUUUGUUCUUUCUCUUCUUUUCUCUUUAUCUAUUCUUUCUUGAGAGCUUCUCUUUCUACCUCCAUCAAAAUCAUAAUUUAUGACAACCUCUCUCUAACUUGGUCCUUAUAUAGUUAGGUUUACUCCCUUAUUCUUUUACUAAAAUACCCCUCUACUAAAUGGGCCUAAAACAUAUUCUAACACCACUUCCCUCAUUCUAUUCUUAAUGAGUUAUUUCUAUUAAAAACACGUAAACCAACAAUUAACACAGAAUUAAUUAAUNNNNNNNNNNNNNNNNNNNNNNNNNNNNNNNNNNNNNNNNNNNNNNNNNNNNUAAACCAACAAUUAACACAUAAUUAAUUAAUUACAUUAAAAACCACAAAUAAAAUAAAUGCAAAUAAUCAAUUAAUUACUAAUAAUUAAAUUUGGGUCGUUACAAGUAUUCUUAGCACCGCCUCUCCAGACUGAUGUCGAGUAUUAUUACCACCGCCUCUCCUAGCUGACCUUGUGUAACCCUAAUUGCAUCAACACAUCCUUGACUUGAUUUUCUAUAAGCCAAAUAUCAAUUUUCUCUAGCCUAAACUUCAACGCAGAACUCCCUCCUCCUGAAUCAAACCAAGAGCUCUGAUAUCAGUUGUUGGGAAAAAACGGCAUAGAGAAAAUAAAUGAACGCGAUCAACAACACAAGAAUAUAACGUGGAAACUCCAAAUCGGAGAAAAAAAACCACGGCCGUUGUCAAAACCGACAACCAGAGAAUAAACACUAUGUGAAAAUUGUUACAACACAUAGACUUCACUCUCAAUCACCCCAUGCCCCAAUACACCCACACUCUCCAAAGUAAAUAUUUGAACUACAUCUCAAAUACUUCUAAACAAGAGCAUAAGAGAAAAUCAAAAAGACACAAAUAUAGACUUAAAGUGUUUACAAGUGUUACUGCUUGGUGCAAUUAUAAACAAAGAACUUAGGUCCAUUAUAUAGCUUUGAUUUCCUCCUUGCUUCACAAUUCUAAGCGAUGUGGGACUUUCAAUAGCUAUUUUUUAAUCUCCUUCUUUUUCUUCAUUAGCAAUGUGAAACUUACAUUGCAA